RNAcentral lists this long non-coding RNA (426 nucleotides) under Helianthus annuus (common sunflower). RNAcentral describes it as "sRNA HanXRQr2_Chr10g0457811". The record is from RNAcentral. Lineage: Eukaryota; Viridiplantae; Streptophyta; Magnoliopsida; Asterales; Asteraceae.
GGUUUGCACCACAAUUUAUACGACGAUCAACAGCGAAAUACAUGAGAUAUGCCCAACAACAGAUGGCUAAGUUCCCAGUUCGUUUCCUCGCAAUUACCAACAAAAAUUCAGUAUUGUACUAUAACUAACAUCCUACACAAUAUUUGCUUCACCAACUUGUAUCUAAAUGGGCAUAAUCUUUAACCAUCAAUAUUUCGCUACAUAGUUUUUUAGGAACUUGAUUCAGGUCUUCUCCUUCUUGCCAUGCUUGCCCGACCAUAACACCGGGCCCUACAUUCCUUACAUAUAUCACAACGGCAUCAUUGAACGGCGAUGGAUGUUAACCUGGCUUUGGAAACCCUUGAGGAUACUCCUGUAAAUCCAAAAGCCCAUCCCCAAAUUCAUAUGCCAUAUCACAAGGCUCCUCUGUUGACAUCACUUCAUUAA